GGCGAACGCUGGCGGCGUGCCUAAUACAUGCAAGUCGAGCGGACGGAUGGGAGCUUGCUCCCAGACCGUCAGCGGCGGACGGGUGAGUAACACGUGGGCAACCUGCCUGUAAGACUGGGAUAACUCCGGGAAACCGGGGCUAAUACCGGAUAACUCUUUCCCUCACAUGAGGGAAAGCUGAAAGAUGGCAUCUCGCUAUCACUUACAGAUGGGCCCGCGGCGCAUUAGCUAGUUGGUGAGGUAACGGCUCACCAAGGCGACGAUGCGUAGCCGACCUGAGAGGGUGAUCGGCCACACUGGGACUGAGACACGGCCCAGACUCCUACGGGAGGCAGCAGUAGGGAAUCUUCCGCAAAGGACGAAAGUCUGACGGAGCAACGCCGCGUGAGUGAUGAAGGUUUUCGGAUCGUAAAACUCUGUUGUCAGGGAAGAACAAGUACCGGAGUAACUGCCGGUACCUUGACGGUACCUGACCAGAAAGCCACGGCUAACUACGUG
RNAcentral lists this ribosomal RNA (498 nucleotides) under uncultured bacterium. RNAcentral describes it as "partial 16S ribosomal RNA". It matches the Rfam family "Bacterial small subunit ribosomal RNA", at positions 28 to 507 of the family's 1533-position model. The record is from RNAcentral.